Molecule: ribosomal RNA, 375 nt
Filed under: uncultured bacterium
Lineage: Bacteria
Description: bacterial SSU rRNA
Rfam family: Bacterial small subunit ribosomal RNA
Source: RNAcentral
AAUGGGGCGAAGCCUGAUGCAGCGAGCCGCGUGGAGGGAUGAAGGCCUUCGGGUUGUAAACCCUCUUUCAGGAGGGAAGAAAUUGACGGUACCUCCAGAAGAAGCCCCGGCCAACUACGUGCCAUCAGCCGCGGUAAUACGUAGGGGGCGAGCGUUGUCCGGAAUUAUUGGGCGUAAAGAGCUCGUAUGCGGCUCAGCAAGUCGGCUGUGAAAUCCCGAGGCUCAACCUCGGAACUGCACUCCAUACUGCUGUGGCUAAAUUCUGGUAAAGGAGAGUGGAAUUCCCGGUGUAGCGGUGAAAUGCACACAUAUCGGGAGGAACACCAUUAGCGAAGGCGGCUCUCUGGGCCAGUACUGACGCUGAGGAGCGAAAGC